GAUGAACGCUGGCGGCGUGCCUAAUACAUGCAAGUAGAACGCUGAAGGCGGAGCUUGCUCUUCUGGAUGAGUUGCGAACGGGUGAGUAACGCGUAGGUAACCUGCCUGGUAGCGGGGGAUAACUAUUGGAAACGAUAGCUAAUACCGCAUGACAACAGUUAUUGCAUGAUAACGGUUUAAAAGGGGCAACUGCUCCACUACCAGAUGGACCUUCGUUGUAUUAGGUAGGUGGUGUGGUAACGGCUCACCAAGGCGAGGAAACAUAUCAGCACGGAGAGGGGGAUCGGCCAGCCUGAGACUGAGACACGGCCCAGAGGCCUACGGGAGGCAGCCGUAGGGCAUCUGCGGCAAGGGAUGGAAGUCUGACCGAGAAGCGCCGAGGGCUUGUGCAAGGUCUUCGGAUCGUAAAGGUCUGUUGUAAGAGAAGAACGAGUGUGAGAGUGGAAAGUUCCCACUGUGACGGUAUCUUAUAAGAAAGGGACGGCUAACUACGUG
RNAcentral lists this ribosomal RNA (495 nucleotides) under uncultured bacterium. RNAcentral describes it as "partial 16S ribosomal RNA". It matches the Rfam family "Bacterial small subunit ribosomal RNA", at positions 28 to 507 of the family's 1533-position model. The record is from RNAcentral.